UACGGGGGGAGCAAGCGUUGUUCGGAUUUACUGGGCGUAAAGGGCGCGUAGGCGGUCAGCACAAGUCAGUUGUGAAAUCUCCGGGCUUAACUCGGAAAGGUCAACUGAUACUGUGCGACUAGAGUGCAGAAGGGGCAACUGGAAUUCUCGGUGUAGCGGUGAAAUGCGUAGAUAUCGAGAGGAACACCUGCGGCGAAGGCGGCAUCCUGGACCGGCAUUGACGCUGAGGCGCGAAAGCCAGGGGAGCAAACGGG
This 254-nucleotide ribosomal RNA is filed under the name uncultured bacterium. RNAcentral's name for it is "partial 16S ribosomal RNA". It matches the Rfam family "Bacterial small subunit ribosomal RNA", at positions 524 to 776 of the family's 1533-position model. The record is from RNAcentral.